AAAAAAUUAUAAAAAAGUCCACAAAAUAAUUUAAAAUAAUUAAUUACUAUUUAUUAAGUAAUUUAUGAAAUCAAUAAAUUAUUUAAAUAUUCACUAAAGAAAUAAUAAUUAAAACAUAAUUACUAAUUCAAGUAAUUAAAAAAGAUUAAGCUAUUACUUAAUUACACAUAUUAAACUAAAGAAGUUGGAAAAAGAGAGUAAAGAAACUAAUUUUAUAUGUUUAAAAUUUAAACUUUAAAAAUAAAAAUAAAAUA
Molecule: long non-coding RNA, 254 nt
Filed under: Prunus persica (peach)
Lineage: Eukaryota; Viridiplantae; Streptophyta; Magnoliopsida; Rosales; Rosaceae
Description: long non-coding RNA (PPER_LNC002830)
Source: RNAcentral